This is a non-coding RNA of Danio rerio (zebrafish), 769 nucleotides long. The record is from Ensembl. NCBI's taxonomy places the organism in Eukaryota, Metazoa, Chordata, Actinopteri, Cypriniformes, Danionidae.
AGGGAAGUGACAACUUGGAGCAACUUCUGGAAAUGAUGGAAUUGGAGAACAACAGAAGUCAGAAGGCCACAUUCGCCCCGCAAAUGGACACAAAGCAGGUCCAACGUGAGUCGUCUCCUGUCCACAGCAGUAGCAAUUUUUCACGUCCUGCUCGACCAGCCAAUCAGCGCCGUCCAUCUAGAUGGGCUAAACACAACCCACCAUGCAAGAUCAUUCACACAAGCCCUGGCCUGAAAGCCAAACGGUUCUUGAAUUCAUAUUCGCAGCACACAGAAACCAUCAUCAUGUGACCGACCAGGAUAGAACACACUUGAACGGACACUUCAAAGGACACUUAACGGAAGAGACAAACCUUUGACAUUUGUAGAACACAAUCGACUUUUUUAUAUAUACAGAAGCAUCACCACAAUGUGAUUUCAAAGAAUCUUAUUGCAGCCCACUCGGAUGGCCCGUGGCGUUUUACUUAACUUCAAAAGGACGAUGUUUUCAUUCAACUCUGCGCUGUUUGAAGUGCUUUGGAAAGAAACUCCAGUGGAGAUUCUCCGACCUGGUGAACUUCUGUGCCUAUGAACCCUUCAUUGCCUUUUCAUUUCGUUCUGCCAUUUCUCAUUCGGUUUUGUAUUCUUUUAUUCUUCUUUUCUAUUCUUCCUGAGUGCUUUGUGUACAGUGCAUUUCAUGCGGUGUCAUGUAGGGCAUUUUUGUAACCGUAUACAGUGCGCAUGUAUGCUACACGCAUAACAUGUAUUUGAACAUACAUGGCAACGACUUC